RNAcentral lists this ribosomal RNA (915 nucleotides) under Pseudospiropes lotorum. RNAcentral describes it as "LSU rRNA". It matches the Rfam family "Eukaryotic large subunit ribosomal RNA", at positions 38 to 967 of the family's 3401-position model. Lineage: Eukaryota; Fungi; Ascomycota; Leotiomycetes; Helotiales. The record is from RNAcentral.
GCAUAUCAAUAAGCGGAGGAAAAGAAACCAACAGGGAUUGCCUCAGUAACGGCGAGUGAAGCGGCAACAGCUCAAAUUUGAAAUCUGGCCUCUUUGGGGUCCGAGUUGUAAUUUGUAGAGGAUGUUUCGGGUACCGCCUCGGUUUAAAUUUCUUGGAACAGAAUGUCAGAGAGGGUGAGAAUCCCGUCUUGGACCGGCGGUAGGGCCCAUGUGAAACUCCUUCGACGAGUCGAGUUGUUUGGGAAUGCAGCUCAAAAUGGGUGGUAAAUUUCAUCUAAAGCUAAAUAUUGGCCAGAGACCGAUAGCGCACAAGUAGAGUGAUCGAAAGAUGAAAAGCACUUUGAAAAGAGAGUUAAACAGUAUGUGAAAUUGUUGAAAGGGAAGCGCUUACAACCAGACUUGAGCGCGGCGGUUCCCCCUUCCUUUUGGUUGGGUUACUCCGCCGUGUCCAGGCCAACAUCGGUUCUGGGGGUCGGUCAAAGGCUUUGGGAAUGUACCUACCCUUCGGGCGUAGACUUAUAGCCCAGAGUGUCAUGCGGCCUCCCGGGACCGAGGAACGCGCUUCGGCUCGGAUGUUGGCGUAAUGGUUGUCAGCGACCCGUCUUGAAACACGGACCAAGGAGUCUAACAUCUAUGCGAGUGUUUGGGUGUCAAACCCGGAACGCGAAAUGAAAGUGAACGGAGGUAGGAAGCCGUGAGGCUGCACUAUCGACCGAUCCUGAUGUCUUCGGAUGGAUUUGAGUAAGAGCAUAGCUGUUGGGACCCGAAAGAUGGUGAACUAUGCCUGAAUAGGGUGAAGCCAGAGGAAACUCUGGUGGAGGCUCGCAGCGGUUCUGACGUGCAAAUCGAUCGUCAAAUUUAGGUAUAGGGGCGAAAGACUAAUCGAACCAUCUGGUAGCUGGUUCCUGCCGAAGU